AAUGUUUUGAUAAAUUUAAUUGUUUUUAUAAAAAAUAAUAUAAUUGCAUCAGUUUAUAACAUAUAGGUAUAUGUAGACAAUAACAAGUACCCAUGUCGAUGAGUCAAAUUGGCAUAACAGAUAGAGUAGAACAAGGUUUGUCAUUCUAGGUCCCGGGUUCAAAACCAGCGCAAAGAUUUUUUUGACAACAUAUUGUUUACUGGGUAUAUAUAUAUAUAUAUGAUAUACAUGGAACGUUCAGCUGUAUGUUUUAUAAAUAAACAAUGGAGUGCAUUUGCUGAUACAAUGGAUAUAGGGGAGACGGGGCUUAAAUUAACAGGGAAUGAGAAAUUAUAAAAAAGACGGACAGAAGGACGAAGAGUAACGAUAACGGUAACGUUACCUCAUUUAUCUGUGUUAAUUGUCAUUCUGACGACGAUGAGUAGUAAUAAUAUUUAAUAAUAAUAGUUUCUGAAUAUUAUAGUAAUAUAAAGUUAGUAGCUAUAGAUAUGUUUAAUGAAUAAUACCGAUGUGCUAUGUUCUUUUUUGUAUUUCAAAGAGAUUUAUGCAAUAUUUUUGUUGUAAGCUGUAAUAAGAACACUAUGCUGUGAUUUUUUUGUUCUUGAAUAGUAAUAUAAUGUUACUAACUAUUAUAAAUAUGUUUAAUGAAAAAUGUGCUAUGUUCAUCUUUGUAUUUUAAAAAAGUUUAUGCUAUUUAUGAUAUUUUGGUUAUAAGCAAAUAACUUUUUCUAUGUGAUUACAUGAUUUAAUUAACCUCAAAUAAAUCAAGAAUUUUAUAAAAUAAAAUAAAAUUACAUUUUUAUUUAAGAAAAAC
Monomorium pharaonis (pharaoh ant) is the source of this 814-nucleotide long non-coding RNA. RefSeq lists it as uncharacterized. The transcript has 3 exons. NCBI's taxonomy places the organism in Eukaryota, Metazoa, Arthropoda, Insecta, Hymenoptera, Formicidae. The record is from RefSeq and is a predicted model, not a curated record.